GAUGAACGCUGACGGCGUGCUUAACACAUGCCAGUCGAACGAUGAAGCCCAGCUUGCUGGGUGGAUUAGUGGCGAACGGGUGAGUAACACGUGAGUAACCUGCCCUUAACUCUGGGAUAAGCCUGGGAAACUGGGUCUAAUACCGGAUAGGAGCGUCCACCGCAUGGUGGGUGUUGGAAAGAUUUAUCGGUUUUGGAUGGACUCGCGGCCUAUCAGCUUGUUGGUGAGGUAAUGGCUCACCAAGGCGACGACGGGUAGCCGGCCUGAGAGGGUGACCGGCCACACUGGGACUGAGACACGGCCCAGACUCCUACGGGAGGCAGCAGUGGGGAAUAUUGCACAAUGGGCGCAAGCCUGAUGCAGCGACGCCGCGUGAGGGAUGACGGCCUUCGGGUUGUAAACCUCUUUCAGUAGGGAAGAAGCGAAAGUGACGGUACCUGCAGAAGAAGCACCGGCUAACUACGUG
RNAcentral lists this ribosomal RNA (466 nucleotides) under uncultured bacterium. Its description in RNAcentral is "partial 16S ribosomal RNA". It matches the Rfam family "Bacterial small subunit ribosomal RNA", at positions 28 to 507 of the family's 1533-position model. The record is from RNAcentral.